UGGGGAAUAUUGGACAAUGGGCGAAAGCCUGAUCCAGCCAUGCCGCGUGUGUGAAGAAGGUCUUCGGAUUGUAAAGCACUUUAAGUUGGGAGGAAGGGCAGUAAGCGAAUACCUUGCUGUUUUGACGUUACCGACAGAAUAAGCACCGGCUAACUCUGUGCCAGCAGCCGCGGUAAUACAGAGGGUGCAAGCGUUAAUCGGAAUUACUGGGCGUAAAGCGCGCGUAGGUGGUUCGUUAAGUUGAAUGUGAAAGCCCCGGGCUCAACCUGGGAACUGCAUCCAAAACUGGCGAGCCAGAGUAGGGCAGAGGGUGGUGGAAUUUCCUGUGUAGCGGUGAAAUGCGUAGAUAUAGGAAGGAACACCAGUGGCGAAGGCGACCACCUGGGCUCAUACUGACACUGAGGUGCGAAAGCGUGGGGAGCAAACAGG
RNAcentral lists this ribosomal RNA (429 nucleotides) under Pseudomonadota bacterium. RNAcentral's name for it is "Proteobacteria bacterium partial 16S ribosomal RNA". It matches the Rfam family "Bacterial small subunit ribosomal RNA", at positions 355 to 776 of the family's 1533-position model. Lineage: Bacteria; Pseudomonadati; Pseudomonadota. The record is from RNAcentral.